UACGGGGGGGGGCAAGCGUUGUUCGGAAUUACUGGGCGUAAAGGCUCGUAGGCGGCCAACUAAGUCAGACGUGAAAUCCCUCGGCUUAACCGGGGAACUGCAUCUGAUACUGGAUGGCUUGAGUUCGGGAGAGGGAUGCGGAAUUCCUGGUGUAGCGGUGGAAUGCGCAGAUAUCAGGAGGAACACCGAUGGCGAAGGCAGUUCUCUGGGCCUGACCUGACGCUGAGGAGCGAAAGCGUGGGGAGCGAACAGG
RNAcentral lists this ribosomal RNA (253 nucleotides) under uncultured bacterium. Its description in RNAcentral is "partial 16S ribosomal RNA". It matches the Rfam family "Bacterial small subunit ribosomal RNA", at positions 524 to 776 of the family's 1533-position model. The record is from RNAcentral.